This 2127-nucleotide long non-coding RNA is filed under the name Homo sapiens (human). RNAcentral describes it as "HSALNT0262077". Lineage: Eukaryota; Metazoa; Chordata; Mammalia; Primates; Hominidae. The record is from RNAcentral.
GGGUUUCAUCGUGUUAGCCAGGAUUGUCUCGAUCUCCUGACCUCGUGAUCCACCUGCCUCGGCCUCCCAAAGUGCUGGGAUUACAGGCGUGAGCCACCGCGCCCGGCCAAAGCCUACGUAAAAGCUAAGGUAUGUCUACCUGCGGGUGGGCUGACACUGUAACAAAACUUAUUACUUUGUUGAUUUAAAGCUAUCCUUGGCCAGGCGCAAUGGCUUACGCCUGUAUUGACAGCGCUUUGGAAGGCCGAGGCAGGUGGAUCACCGGAGGUCAGGAGUCCGAGACCAGCCUGCUAUCUUAAAAGCAUACAUUGUCAUGGGAUAUUGGGUCAUCUGGACAUUGUGUUUCUGUAGAAAUUUGUCCUUGCAGGUAUCAAUAAGCUGCUUUCCUUAACCAUAAACAUCUUAUGACGGUGACUCGUGCAUGAGCUGUAAGGAAUAUGUCUUGCUAGUUUUAAUGGACUUGAACUUUGUCACCCUAGCUCUCCUAGGUUCCUGCUUAACAGUUUAUCCAUUCAUGCAACAUAGUCCUAAGCACAAUUAUGGAGACACCAGUCUCUCGUAAUGUAUCUGACAGACUGAGCUUCUGCCCCAAGAACAUAGUAAUAGCAAUACUAAGUGAAAUAUUAGGAAGUUUUAUGUAUGUAUAUAAUUGAUCAUUUAUUAUUUGCAGUUUAAGUUGGCUAAAAUUACAUAGAAUGGGUUAUUUUAAUCAAAUACUAGAAAUAUAUAUCAUUCGCAAAUGGAAUCUAAUCACACAAAGUUGAAGAGCAUUUCCCUAUGUUGAAUAAAUAUGAAGGAGUUCAGAUUUUGGAACUGAUUUCGUGCUUUCCAUGACACCUAGCUUUUUUCUUAUUCUCUCAAUUUCUUCUGCGUUCAUGAGCUUGUGAACUAAAAGUAUCUACUAGGUCUCAGUCAAUUUAGAAAUCUAUUUUGCCAAGGUUAAAAAUGCCCCCGUGACACAGCCUCAGGAGGUCCUGACAAUGUGUGCCCAAGGUGUUCAGGCUGCAGUUUGGUUUUACACAUUUUGCAGAGACAUAAUACAUCAAUCAAUACAUGUAAGAUAUGCAUUGGUUCAGUCUGGAAAGGUGGAAUAACUGGAAUUGGGGGGCUUCCGGGUCACAGGUAGAUAACAAAUGAUCACAUUCUUUGAGUCUUUGAUCAACCUUUCACUAAAUACACAAUUUAUAUGUGAGAGCGGGAGGAGGAAUAGUCACUUAUGCCUUCGACUGCCUCAGUGACCCUGCGUUUUUAUGUAAACAAUAGGGCAGGGGAAGCAAUCAGAUAGGCAUUUGUCUCAGGUGUGCAGAGGGAUUGGUUCUGUCCCACACCUGUGCAGAUAAGCUCUCGGUUUACAUUGCCAGGGGGAAAUUCAAAAUAACUAUUUUAGGGUGGAGAUCUUGAGGUCCCCAGUUUGUGAGGGGAGUAUAUAGCUUUUUUUCUUUUCUUAGGGGAGUAUAUAUCUUUUUUUCUUUUCUUUUCUUUUCUUUUUGAGACAGAUUUUCACUGUUAUUGCCCAGGCUGGAGGGCAAUGGCGCAAUCUCGGCUCACCACAACCUCCUCCUCCUGGGUUCAAGUGAUUCUCCUUUCUGUGGGGAAAAGAGAGAGAGAUCAGAUUGUUACUGUGUCUAUGCAGAAAAGGAAGACAUAAGAAACUCCACUUUGAUCUGUACUAAGAAAAAUUGUUCUGCUUCGAGAUGCUGUUAAUCUGUAACUAUAGCCUCAACCCUGUGCUCACAGAAACAUGUGUUGUAUUGAAUCAAGGUUUAAUGGAUUUAGGGCUGUGCAGGGUGUGCCUUGUUAAUAUGUUUGCAGGCAGUAUGCUUGGUAAAAGUUAUCGCUGUUCUCCAUUCUCUGUUAACCAGGGACACAAUGCACUGCGGAAAGCCGCAGGGACCUCUGCCCUAGAAAGCCUGGGUAUUGUCCAAGUUUCCCCCAACUGAGACAGCCUGAGAUAUGGCCUCAUGGGAAAGGAAAGGCCUUACCAUCCCCCAGCCUGACACCUGUAAAGGGUCUGUGCUGAGGAGGAGUAGUGAAAGAGGGAGGCCUCUUUGCAGUUGAGAUAAGAGGAAGACUUCUGUCUCCUGCUCAUCCCUGGGAAUGGAAUGUCUCAGUGUAAAGCCGACCAUU